Non-coding RNA from Pelobates cultripes (western spadefoot toad), 241 nucleotides. The record is from the annotation of a GenBank genome assembly. NCBI's taxonomy places the organism in Eukaryota, Metazoa, Chordata, Amphibia, Anura, Pelobatidae.
AUUAGGAUUAUACCCUUUCUGAUUUUGUCUGCAGAGUUACUGUGUUCCUGCUGGAUGGGCGUCCACAACUUCGUGCAUUUUAACUGCAUCUUAGAAUGUGCAUGGUUGUAUCGGCAUUAGUUACUGCUAGAGAUGCUUUUGCUAACAGGGCAGAACCAUUAGUGAUGGUCUUUGACACCUGCAACGUGUGAGCUGAAGACAGAACCAUAGUUGACCUCUUUCCUCUAUCAACCUUUCUCAA